This 433-nucleotide ribosomal RNA is filed under the name uncultured bacterium. Its description in RNAcentral is "partial 16S ribosomal RNA". It matches the Rfam family "Bacterial small subunit ribosomal RNA", at positions 29 to 507 of the family's 1533-position model. The record is from RNAcentral.
AACGAACGCUGGCGGCAGGCCUAACACAUGCAAGUCGAGCGAGGACUGCGGUUCUAGCGCCGGAUGCGUGAGUAACGGGGGGGAAAGUGCCCUUCUCUAUGGAAGAUCGCUGGGAAACUGGUAGGAAUACCGUAUACGCUCUAGUGUGGAAAGAGUUAGCGGAGAAGGAGGAGCCCGAGUUGGAUUAGGUAGUUGGUGGGGUAAUGUGCUACCACUCCGACGAGCGAUAGCUGGUUUGAGAGGAUGAGCAGCCACACUGGGACUGAGACACGGCCCGGACUACUACGGGAUGCAGGAGUGGGGAAUCUUAGACAAUGGGGGCAAUGCUGAAGGAGCCAUGACGCGUGAGUGAUGAAGGCCUUAGGGAUGUAAAGCUCUUUAAGCUCGGAAGAUAAUGACGUUACCAGCAGAAGAAGCCCCGGCUAACUCCGUG